GCUGGUUUGUUGCCAAGGCAGUAGAGGUCUCUUGUGUUAACAUAGGUGCCAUUUUGCAGCUGAUAAACACAAGUCACUUCCCGAUGCUGGAUACCUUUUUCACAAGUGGCAGAGCAGGGACUCCAAAGGCCAGUCACCCACCGUGACUGGCAGGGGUGUGUGUUACAUUUCCUGACCUGGGGCUCAGGGCGAUUCACUCGUUGGCAGUCACUGUCAUUCACCACUGUCAUGGUCUUGUUAAUAAUUCGAGUACAGGACACAAUUGUUUUCCGUUCACCUCCUCCACAUUGCACACUACACCCUUCCCAUCCACUGUGUG
Molecule: long non-coding RNA, 319 nt
Filed under: Gallus gallus (chicken)
Lineage: Eukaryota; Metazoa; Chordata; Aves; Galliformes; Phasianidae
Source: RNAcentral